UGGUGGCUGAGCAGAAUGCCUGUCGUUACGAAGCGGAACAUUUACCACGCGCUCGCCGUGUGCUACAGGCAGUUGAGCGCGCCGCCGCCCAGCUAUUGGCACCAGCCGAGCGCAGACCCGCUCCUGGCGAUCACCGUGGGCCAGCUAGUGGACAGCGCCGCAGACCGCUUCGGCUCCCGGGAGGCGCUCGUCUCCUGCCACCAGGGCGUGCGGCUCACCUUCAGCGAGGUCAAGCGCCGGGUGGACCGCCUGGCGGCUGGCCUGCUGGACGCUGGGCUGCGGCGCGGGGACCGGCUGGCGCUGUGGGGCGGCAACUCGGCCGAGUGGUACCUGGCCGCGCUGGCCGCCGGGCGCGCCGGCAUGGUGCUCGUCUGCGCCAACCCCGCCUACGAGGUCGCCGAGUUCCGCUACUGCCUCAACAAGGUGGGGGCCCGCGGCGUGGUGGCGGCAGAGGCGUGCUACCCCAAGGUGGAGAGGAUGGCGCCGCAGCUGUCCUACAGCCCGCCGGGCGACCUGCAGUGCGCCGACGUGCCGGACCUCGCCACCGUCGUCUUCAUGGAGGGCGAGCGCAAACGAGGAGCCUUCCAACUGAGAGAGCUGAUGGACUCCGCGACGAGGGGCUCCCUGGGCGUGAUCACCAACCAGCAGCUCUCCAUACAGCCAGACGACGGCUGCAACAUCCUCUUCACCUCCGGAACGACGGCGAAACCAAAGGCAGCCAUCUUGACUCACCACAAUAUAAUCAACAAUUCUUACUUCGUUGGAAAACGCAUGCAGUUUGACGAAAAGCACCACCGUAUCUGCCUGCAAGUGCCACUGUUCCACUGCUAUGGCUUCUGCAGUGGAGUGUUGGCCGCCCUGCACCAUGGUGCCACUGUCGUCCUGCCAUCGCUGUAUUUCAACCCUAAGGCUUCCCUAGACGCUAUCGAGAAAGAAAAGUGCACCGUGGUAUAUGGCACACCUACCAUGUACGUUGACCUGGUCGCCGAGCGAGACUUCGAGGAUCGCCGGUUCGAGACCCUGGAGACGGCGGUCAGCAGCGGCUCACCCAUCUCCCAUCCGCUGUUCCUCGAGCUGCAGCGCAAGUUCGGCGUCCGGAAAGUUGGCUCUCUGUACGGUCUGACGGAGACGAGCCCCGUCGUCUUCCAGUCUCAGCCAACCGACUCGGAGGAUCAGAUGCUCAACACCGUGGGAGCCGUCUCGCAGCACGUCGAGGUGAAGGUGGUGGACGAGCAGCGCAAAGUUGUGCCCAUGGGGACUGUGGGCGAGCUGUGUGUGCGUGGCUACGUCACCGUGGCGCGAUACUGGUCAGACGAGGAGAGCACGCGCAGACUCUACUACCGCGAGCGCUGGCUUCGCACAGGGUCUUUGGAGUUCCACAUGAGAGAUGGGGAGAACAGAUAUGCGCCUGCAUACGUCUGAAGAGGGGCUCCACUUUGACAUCUGAUGCAGUACGAGAGUUUGCAAGUGGUAAAAUUUCAGACUUCAAGAUUCCAUCCAUAAUAGAAAUAGUGGAUGAACUACCGAGAAAUCCUUCAGGAAAGAUCCAGACUCUGCAGCUGCGUGAAGCAGUGAUGGAAAAGUAUGGAAUAAAAGAUGUAGCAAUAUAUGGCUGGU
This 1617-nucleotide unclassified non-coding RNA is filed under the name Schistocerca americana (American grasshopper). RNAcentral describes it as "medium-chain acyl-CoA ligase ACSF2, mitochondrial- like, transcript variant X3". The record is from RNAcentral. Lineage: Eukaryota; Metazoa; Arthropoda; Insecta; Orthoptera; Acrididae.